UACGGAGGGGACUAGCGUUGUUCGGAAUUACUGGGCGUAAAGCGCACGUAGGCGGAUUUGUAAGUCAGGGGUGAAAUCCCGGGGCUCAACCUCGGAACUGCCUUUGAUACUGCAAGUCUCGAGUCCGAUAGAGGUGAGUGGAAUUCCUAGUGUAGAGGUGAAAUUCGUAGAUAUUAGGAAGAACACCAGUGGCGAAGGCGGCUCACUGGAUCGGUACUGACGCUGAGGUGCGAAAGCGUGGGGAGCAAACAGG
RNAcentral lists this ribosomal RNA (253 nucleotides) under uncultured bacterium. RNAcentral describes it as "partial 16S ribosomal RNA". It matches the Rfam family "Bacterial small subunit ribosomal RNA", at positions 524 to 776 of the family's 1533-position model. The record is from RNAcentral.